Molecule: ribosomal RNA, 772 nt
Filed under: uncultured Neocallimastigales
Lineage: Eukaryota; Fungi; Neocallimastigomycota; Neocallimastigomycetes; Neocallimastigales
Description: partial large subunit ribosomal RNA
Rfam family: Eukaryotic large subunit ribosomal RNA
Source: RNAcentral
AGAGAGAGACAUGCGCGCAUAUCAAUAAGCGGAGGAAAAGAAACUAACAAGGAUUCCCUUAGUAACGGCGAGUGAAGCGGGAAGAGCUCAAAUUUGAAAUCUUCAAGGUUUACCUUGACGAAUUGUAGUUUAAAGAAGUGUUUUCUGUUGAGUUUUGGUAAAAGUUCUUUGGAAUAGGACAUCAUAGAGGGUGAGAAUCCCGUAUUUGACCAUUAUUUCCAGCUUUGUGAUACACUUUCAAAGAGUCGGAUUGUUUGGGAAUGCAGUCCAAAAUGGGUGGUAAAUUUCAUCUAAAGCUAAAUACUGGCGAGAGACCGAUAGCGAACAAGUACCGUGAGGGAAAGAUGAAAAGAACUUUGAAAAGAGAGUUAAACAGUACGUGAAAUUGUCAAAAGGGAAGCGUUUGACACCAGUGUUGUUUUCUCGAAAAUCAAUUAAAAAAGGCAGGAUUUUGUGUUGUAUUGACUUUAUCAGCUUUCUGCACUCUUUUCUUGUCUUUUUUAAUGCACUUUUCGUUUAACAAGUCAACAUCAAUUUCUUUUGUUGUAAAAGGGUCAUUGGAAGGUGGCUUUCUUUUCGGAGAAAGUGUUUAUAGCCUUUGGCCUCUGCAAUCGGAGAGAUUGAGGUCUGCAGCGUAGAUCCUUCGGGGUUAGAUACAUUUGUGCUAAGUUAUAGCAUUUUAUAGACAACUUGUUGACUAUGAUCAGUCAUGUAGCUUACUCGCUUAUGCUAUUUUACCUACGCUUAGGAUGUUGAUGUGAUACUGCGAGCA